GGAGUGCGCCGGGUGGUCGCCGGCUCGCCGACGCCCUCGGGCGGAGGCGAGCGGGAGGAAAGUCCGAACUCCAUAGGACAGGGUGGUGGGUAACGCCCACCGUCCGUGAGGGCCGGGAAAGUGCCACAGAAAACAUACCGCCCCUUCGGGGGUAAGGGUGAAAAGGUGCGGUAAGAGCGCACCGCUCGGCCCGUGAGGGUCGAGGCAUGGUAAACCCCACCCGGAGAAAGGCCAAAUAGAGGGGGAUCGGGAGAAAUCUCGUGCGGGGCGGUCCGUCCCGCCAUGACCCCUGGGUAGGCUGCUGGAGCUCCCUCGCAAGGCGGAGCCUAGACGAAUGGCCACCGAACGGGCCGGAGGGAUCUCCCGCCGGUCCGGGAACAGGAUUCGGCUUACAGGCGCGCUCCCGCA
This 408-nucleotide RNase P RNA is filed under the name Planctomycetota bacterium. RNAcentral's name for it is "RNase P RNA component class A". It matches the Rfam family "Bacterial RNase P class A". From Rfam's summary of the family: Ribonuclease P (RNase P) is a ubiquitous endoribonuclease, found in archaea, bacteria and eukarya as well as chloroplasts and mitochondria. Its best characterised activity is the generation of mature 5'-ends of tRNAs by cleaving the 5'-leader elements of precursor-tRNAs. Lineage: Bacteria; Pseudomonadati; Planctomycetota. The record is from RNAcentral.